Molecule: small nucleolar RNA, 99 nt
Organism: Betta splendens (Siamese fighting fish)
Lineage: Eukaryota; Metazoa; Chordata; Actinopteri; Anabantiformes; Osphronemidae
Gene: SNORD16
Rfam family: Small nucleolar RNA SNORD16
About the family: U16 is a member of the C/D class of snoRNA which contain the C (UGAUGA) and D (CUGA) box motifs. U81 acts as a guanine methylation guide and is found in an intron of ribosomal proteins L1 gene in animals.
Source: Ensembl
UGCCGUGAUGGUGUAAUUUGCGUCUGACUCUGUGACCAGCGACCAAGCGCCUAAUGGUCAUAAGCUGGCCAGAUGGCUGACGAACACGGAGUCUGAGCA